RNAcentral lists this long non-coding RNA (292 nucleotides) under Marmota monax (woodchuck). The record is from RNAcentral. Lineage: Eukaryota; Metazoa; Chordata; Mammalia; Rodentia; Sciuridae.
GAUGAGGAACUGGAAAGAGAGGAGAAGUUAUUUCUGCUUGGGGAAGAAGUGGCCCAGUAUGACAGGACAUGCAAGGUUAGCUGAGGCCUGUGGAAAAAAUAUGGACACGAGGAUUAUAGAUACUCUCAUAUCUGAGACGGGCUUUGCUAGAAUUGCUGUCAGUGGAGCUAUGGCUGGGUUGUGGCCCAUUUGUGAAUUUAUGACCUUCAAUUUCUCUGUGCAAGCCACUGACCAGGUUAUAAAUUCAGCUGCCAAGACCUACUGUAUGCUGGGGGGCCUCCAGCCUGUGCUC